RNAcentral lists this ribosomal RNA (1564 nucleotides) under Salmonella enterica. Its description in RNAcentral is "partial 23S ribosomal RNA". It matches the Rfam family "Bacterial large subunit ribosomal RNA", at positions 1256 to 2803 of the family's 2925-position model. The record is from RNAcentral. RNAcentral also lists the same sequence under 1 other name. Lineage: Bacteria; Pseudomonadati; Pseudomonadota; Gammaproteobacteria; Enterobacterales; Enterobacteriaceae.
GUGGCCUGUGAGGGUUGCUGGAGGUAUCAGAAGUGCGAAUGCUGACAUAAGUAACGAUAAAGCGGGUGAAAAGCCCGCUCGCCGGAAGACCAAGGGUUCCUGUCCAACGUUAAUCGGGGCAGGGUGAGUCGACCCCUAAGGCGAGGCCGAAAGGCGUAGUCGAUGGGAAACGGGUUAAUAUUCCCGUACUUGGUGUUACUGCGAAGGGGGGACGGAGAAGGCUAUGUUGGCCGGGCGACGGUUGUCCCGGUUUAAGCGUGUAGGUGUGUGUUCCAGGUAAAUCCGGUUCACUUUAACACUGAGGCGUGACGACGAGGCACUACGGUGCUGAAGCAACAAAUGCCCUGCUUCCAGGAAAAGCCUCUAAGCAUCAGGUAACAUCAAAUCGUACCCCAAACCGACACAGGUGGUCAGGUAGAGAAUACCAAGGCGCUUGAGAGAACUCGGGUGAAGGAACUAGGCAAAAUGGUGCCGUAACUUCGGGAGAAGGCACGCUGACACGUAGGUGAAGUGAUUUACUCAUGGAGCUGAAGUCAGUCGAAGAUACCAGCUGGCUGCAACUGUUUAUUAAAAACACAGCACUGUGCAAACACGAAAGUGGACGUAUACGGUGUGACGCCUGCCCGGUGCCGGAAGGUUAAUUGAUGGGGUCAGCGCAAGCGAAGCUCCUGAUCGAAGCCCCGGUAAACGGCGGCCGUAACUAUAACGGUCCUAAGGUAGCGAAAUUCCUUGUCGGGUAAGUUCCGACCUGCACGAAUGGCGUAAUGAUGGCCAGGCUGUCUCCACCCGAGACUCAGUGAAAUUGAACUCGCUGUGAAGAUGCAGUGUACCCGCGGCAAGACGGAAAGACCCCGUGAACCUUUACUAUAGCUUGACACUGAACAUUGAGCCUUGAUGUGUAGGAUAGGUGGGAGGCUUUGAAGUGUGGACGCCAGUCUGCAUGGAGCCGACCUUGAAAUACCACCCUUUAAUGUUUGAUGUUCUAACGUGGACCCGUUACCCGGGUUGCGGACAGUGUCUGGUGGGUAGUUUGACUGGGGCGGUCUCCUCCUAAAGAGUAACGGAGGAGCACGAAGGUUGGCUAAUCCUGGUCGGACAUCAGGAGGUUAGUGCAAUGGCAUAAGCCAGCUUGACUGCGAGCGUGACGGCGCGAGCAGGUGCGAAAGCAGGUCAUAGUGAUCCGGUGGUUCUGAAUGGAAGGGCCAUCGCUCAACGGAUAAAAGGUACUCCGGGGAUAACAGGCUGAUACCGCCCAAGAGUUCAUAUCGACGGCGGUGUUUGGCACCUCGAUGUCGGCUCAUCACAUCCUGGGGCUGAAGUAGGUCCCAAGGGUAUGGCUGUUCGCCAUUUAAAGUGGUACGCGAGCUGGGUUUAGAACGUCGUGAGACAGUUCGGUCCCUAUCUGCCGUGGGCGCUGGAGAACUGAGGGGGGCUGCUCCUAGUACGAGAGGACCGGAGUGGACGCAUCACUGGUGUUCGGGUUGUCAUGCCAAUGGCACUGCCCGGUAGCUAAAUGCGGAAGAGAUAAGUGCUGAAAGCAUCUAAGCACGAAACUUGCCCCGAG